GGCUCCUCUGGCACCACCUACAGCCUGUAGUCUGAUUUUGCAAAAAUCAACCGCUCCGUGUUCAGAUCCUCCUAUGAGGGCCAGGGGGGGUGUCUAACUUUGUGUAAAUCACUGCUCAUGUACACGCAUUCAUUCUCCCUUAUGGGGGGAGGGGCUUAGGAGACAGUUGUGGGUUUUAGCAGAAAGCGUGGGAGGGACUGAGAAGUUGUCGAUGUUCAAAUAUUUUUCGGCUGAAUGCUGA
Molecule: long non-coding RNA, 241 nt
Organism: Etheostoma spectabile (orangethroat darter)
Lineage: Eukaryota; Metazoa; Chordata; Actinopteri; Perciformes; Percidae
Exons: 4
Source: RefSeq, a predicted model, not a curated record